AUGUGUGUGUGUGUGUUACUUUUAACACAUUAUCUGCCAUUGAAGGCAAUAGACGUCCAAUCGAUGCCUCCUUGUGACAAAUUCGUUUCAAUUCACAUCUGAAGGAUUAAAAGAGCCACAUGAUUGGAGUCAAGUUUAAAUAUUAUUUUAACUCCUUUUAAAUCAAGUUUUGAGCUCCAAGACUUUAAAAUGUGCCAUGUCAUGUAGCUCUUUUCAUAAUUCGACAGUGAAUUUAAAUGAGUUCACCACAAGUAGACAUCCAAUCCCACUUCAAAUGAAUUGGACGUCGAUCACUGUCAAUGGCUGCCAUUGAGUCGGGACACUUUUUCGUGAGUUUAUGUCUUCAGUCAGAACACCUACCAACAGCUACUGAACUCAGUUCGUGUCCUCCAUGAACUUCCUACAUUCCCGAUAAUGGUGACGUGCCGGGGGGAGAAGGCUUUCUGGAUGGAAACCUGCCACGCCAAAGCGGCAGACACAUUCAACUCUGACAGGUGCAUGAGAGAUGAGUGUCAGCCCCGAGGGAGUUGUGAGUGGAGCCAUGUUAGCACGUGGACGCUAGCUCGUUUCCUCCUUUUACCGGUUUCUCGGAAGCCAUAAGCAACAUGUUCCGACCGGGGCAGCGACCGGUAGAACUCUACGAGGGGGCAUCUGCUGCAGGCGCUGGGAUGAACGGCAAAGAGUGGCAGCGG
Corythoichthys intestinalis (scribbled pipefish) is the source of this 692-nucleotide long non-coding RNA. RefSeq lists it as uncharacterized. NCBI's taxonomy places the organism in Eukaryota, Metazoa, Chordata, Actinopteri, Syngnathiformes, Syngnathidae. The transcript has 3 exons. The record is from RefSeq and is a predicted model, not a curated record.